UACGGGGGGGGGCAAGCGUUGUUCGGAAUUACUGGGCGUAAAGGGCGCGUAGGCGGCCUGCUAAGUCGGAUGUGAAAUCCCUCGGCUCAACCGAGGAACUGCAUCCGAUACUGGCGGGCUUGAAUCCGGGAGAGGGAUGUGGAAUUCCAGGUGUAGCGGUGAAAUGCGUAGAUAUCUGGAGGAACACCGGUGGCGAAGGCGGCAUCCUGGACCGGUAUUGACGCUGAGGCGCGAAAGCUAGGGGAGCAAACGGGG
RNAcentral lists this ribosomal RNA (255 nucleotides) under uncultured bacterium. RNAcentral describes it as "partial 16S ribosomal RNA". It matches the Rfam family "Bacterial small subunit ribosomal RNA", at positions 524 to 777 of the family's 1533-position model. The record is from RNAcentral.